CGCGUCAGUCAGCGCGGGGUUUCUUUGCUGCUCACGGACGCUGGACUCGCUGCUCGGGAUGGAGAAGCAGCUCGCCGAAAAAAGGCUUUCAGUGAGGGACAGUGUCACAGUUGAUCCAAGGAAGGCAAGGAAGAUGAAGGUCAUCCACAUAAAUGCUUUUAAUUGGAAUCCACACUAUACACGAAAGGAGGUCAUGGGUGCAGGUAAUUAAACUGGAGAGGGAGAGGUUUUCCAGCUCUCUCUGCCAGCUGCUAUGGGCCAGUAUUAUACAGACUGCUGCUGACCCAGCGCCCUGACAGAGACACAGAGGCUAUGAGAGAACACAAAAAACAUUUCUGCCCAGCAGAGGACACACACACAGAAAUUCGCUCAUACACAUACACACAAUGGAACUGCUGUGUUUUCAUAUUACAGUGCUUACAGGACAGGACUGAUAUUAAACCUUCUGGUUAGGAUUAUUUCUAACCCCCUCACUCUUAAGUAUUCAAUGCCUGCAAUUAAUUCAGUCUGAAUAACAUAAAGGCUAAAUUCAAACUUGAAUUCAAACCCCAAAAUGCUAAUUUUGUCACAUCAUUUACUCA
This 581-nucleotide long non-coding RNA is filed under the name Sinocyclocheilus anshuiensis. RNAcentral's name for it is "lncRNA (ENSSANG00000006304.1)". The record is from RNAcentral. Lineage: Eukaryota; Metazoa; Chordata; Actinopteri; Cypriniformes; Cyprinidae.